RNAcentral lists this ribosomal RNA (253 nucleotides) under uncultured bacterium. Its description in RNAcentral is "partial 16S ribosomal RNA". It matches the Rfam family "Bacterial small subunit ribosomal RNA", at positions 524 to 776 of the family's 1533-position model. The record is from RNAcentral.
UAAGGGGGGUGCGAGCGUUGUUCGGAAUUACUGGGCGUAAAGAGAGUGUAGGCGGCCUAUUAUGUCAGGUGUGAAAGCCCUCGGCCUAACCGAGGAAGUGCGCCUGAAACUGCUAGGCUUGAGUACGAGAGAGGAGGACGGAAUUCCAAGUGUAGAGGUGAAAUUCGUAGAUAUUGGGAGGAACACCGGCGGCGAAAGCGGUUCUCUGGAUCGAUACUGACGCGAAGACGAGAAAGCGUGGGGAGCAAACAGG